ACGAACGAGGUUGGUGCAGUGAUCACGCAGGUUCAAGCACUGCCGAAGGUGCCGACACGGUGACGAAGAUCGUCCCGUGCCGUCCGCCCGAGGCGGUGCCGUACUCCUCGUGAGCGCGGACCAGCGGCGGUUGGACCGGAGCCACAAGGCGACGGAGGAAGGUGAGUCGACACGGGUCAGUCCUGUGUCGACAGCUUACAGCCCCGUCGUACGGUGCUCAGGCCCGACCGAGGAAAUCGGGCAGCCCUUGCCCACCGCGGCACACGCCGAAUGGCGGGGCCUCCCGAUGCGAGUGAACCGUGCGGUGUGGACUGCAUGCAGUGCAAAUCGUGGCGGCGAUCUCGUGGCGGUGAGUGCCACAUGU
RNAcentral lists this unclassified non-coding RNA (364 nucleotides) under Demospongiae sp. GW30073. Its description in RNAcentral is "sequence contains 28S rRNA gene". Lineage: Eukaryota; Metazoa; Porifera; Demospongiae. The record is from RNAcentral.